This 397-nucleotide ribosomal RNA is filed under the name uncultured bacterium. Its description in RNAcentral is "partial 16S ribosomal RNA". It matches the Rfam family "Bacterial small subunit ribosomal RNA", at positions 523 to 918 of the family's 1533-position model. The record is from RNAcentral.
AUACGAAGGGUGCAAGCGUUACUCGGAAUUACUGGGCGUAAAGCGUGCGUAGGUGGUUGUUUAAGUCUGUCGUGAAAGCCCUGGGCUCAACCUGGGAAUGGCGAUGGAAACUGGGCGACUAGAGUGUGGCAGAGGGUAGUGGAAUUCCUGGUGUGGCAGUGAAAUGCGUAGAGAUCAGGAGGAACAUCCGUGGCGAAGGCGACUGCCUGGGCCAACACUGACACUGAGGCACGAAAGCGUGGGGAGCAAACAGGAUUAGAUACCCUGGUAGUCCACGCCCUAAACGAUGCGAACUGGAUGUUGGGUGCAAUUUGGCACGCAGUAUCGAAGCUAACGCGUUAAGUUCGCCGCCUGGGGAGUACGGUCGCAAGACUGAAACUCAAAGGAAUUGACGGGG